This 81-nucleotide small nucleolar RNA is filed under the name Sphaeramia orbicularis (orbiculate cardinalfish). RNAcentral's name for it is "Small nucleolar RNA SNORD11B (ENSSORG00005019347.1)". It matches the Rfam family "Small nucleolar RNA SNORD11B". The record is from Rfam by way of RNAcentral. Lineage: Eukaryota; Metazoa; Chordata; Actinopteri; Kurtiformes; Apogonidae.
CGAGCGGUGAUGAUGACGACAUUAUGUCAUACUCCUGAAAAUGACUGAUGGUUUAAAGUCACUACCUCAUCUGAGCUUUCA